AAUGAAAAUGCGACGAGCUCCAUUGUAACACCGUCCAAUGAGUUUGCAAGUAUCUCAAAGUCCAUAGUUCCCGGAUGAAGUAUACAGCCCUCAACCUUUUGAGCUACUAAUUGCCAUGGAACAAUUGCACUGUAACGUUCAACAACGGUGGGAUCAAUGCCGAAAUCAUACCGAUGGGCUACUUUUGUUCCAGUUGCAAAAAAAACAGUGCUAUGUUGACCGUCUUACUGCUUCUCUCAAAAUGUCGACAGAGGAAUGUACCGGUGAUAGAACCUGGUAAUCCAGACAUUGUAAACUUCAUUACUCAGUCAGCAGUUGUCCAAGGCACAAAAGGAUGCAGAGGAAGAGGUUGGUUCGACAGCAUUGCAUCCAGGCCUCUAUCUGAUCUUGGACUUCCUUUUUGGGUCUGCUGAUACGGUUACUGAUUCUUGGAGCUUUCAAGAUUAUGAGGGAUCAUCAAAUUGGUGGUCUUCCUGUUGUGUUGUGUCUGCUGUUUGAACUCCUGAGGUUGACUGCUUGCGCUCAUCAACCAACGGAAAAUCAUGUUGCUGCCGGCCUGCUUG
This is a long non-coding RNA of Lathyrus oleraceus (garden pea), 563 nucleotides long. RefSeq lists it as uncharacterized. The transcript is spliced from 3 exons. NCBI's taxonomy places the organism in Eukaryota, Viridiplantae, Streptophyta, Magnoliopsida, Fabales, Fabaceae. The record is from RefSeq and is a predicted model, not a curated record.